AAUUACUACAAUCUGUGACUACAUUAAUUCAUUCAUACAUUUUGUGAGUUCUAAAAGUUUAUAAAAUUAAUACGUUUUUAUUUAUUUACAAGGACAACGGUGUAGUAGAAUUAAAUAAAAAGUUAUACCUAUGGAAAUCUGAAAAAAAUACUCUAAAUAAUAAUAAGGCAUAGGUACCAUGUAAUACUCCAUACCAAACUGUUCAUUAGUAAACAGAAAUGGACCAACAAUUUUCAUUGUCUUGGAACAAUUUUCACGGGAAUCUUAGCAAAGGUUUCGCUGGCUUAUUAGGCAAUGGUGAAUUUGUCGAUGUAACGAUUGCUGUAGAAGGCCACUUGCUCCAAGCACACAAAGUUAUACUUUCAAUAUGUUCGCCGUACUUCAAGAAAAUGUUCCAAUUGAAUCCCUGUCAGCAUCCUAUUGUUGUACUCAGAGAUGUCUCUCACAAAGCUAUGAGGGAUUUGUUACAAUUUAUGUAUCACGGCGAAGUUAGUGUUAAAAGAGAAGAUCUCACUAGUUUUAUAGGUACAGCUGAAGUUUUGCAAAUAAAGGGAUUAACAAAUAAAGAGACUGAAGAAGAAUGUUGUGAGACUGAAAAGGAACCUCAACAAAACUUAGAAACUCAUAAUGAUAAUCCUAACACUGAAUCCUGUGCCUCUGAUACAUAUGAUACCUCACCAAAUGAAACUCAAGAAACAAACGACAUUGAUAUAUUUAAACAAAGGCAAUUCAUUGAAAAGCUUCAACAGAUCAGCACACUCAAAAGAAAAUCAGAAGAAUUUCUUAAAAAAAACUUUUAUACAGAUUUACUCAACGCAGAGAAGAGGCAAAAGUUCAAUGAAAAAUUUAACUACAAUAAACAAUCUAACCAUUCUGUACAUAGUGCAUAUGAGAACUUGAAGAAAAUAUAUGACGAAAAUCCUGUAGAUAUAACAACUUCUUUGAAUCCAAUUCAGAGUCCCAGUAAAAAUACCAAUGAAAAUAAUAUGAGUCAAAUAGGGCCAGACACUCCGAUUGAACUUAAAACUGAAUGUGAUGAUAGUGAUAUUAUUGUAACAGACCCAGCCGUGUGCACAACUCACGAUACACAAUCAGAAGGAAAGAAAAGCUUGAUGAUGCCGUUAGAUCUGCAAACAACACAAGAUAAUUGUACCGGGUUGAGUACUCUUUUUUUGGAUCUGAAAAAUUUAGUAAAUGGAAAGAUAUCAAAUAAAGCAAUAAGACCUAGUAAUGAAGAAUACACGAGACCCGCUUUAGACCAUCGCCUCGUCACCAUACCACAGAAAGAGGAUGGGAAAAAGAAGUAUCCGCAGAGAUCGUGUCGGCUUUGCUGGCGAAUAGGGAAACGUCGCGAUACUAGAUUUAUGUGUAGUGCUUGUGAAUUACCAUUUUGCAAAUCGCCAUGCUUUGAAGUUCAUUUUAACGACGUGUUUAAAGUGUCGCACCUCCAAGGAGAUUACUACGCUAAUUAGUCUUUUAAGCUAAUUUUUUUUCCUCUCAAGAGGAAAUUUAUAUUAUAGAGAUACAAAAAUAAGUGAUAUGAUAAAAUACACAAAAGAAUCAAAGAUUCAAUAAAUUUGGGACCAAAUUAUGCCACAAAUAAAAAUAUAUAUUUUUAAAAACAUAAUUUUCAAAUAACAGUACAAUUGUGCAAAGCUCUAAAAAGUUGCAGGGAAAAUAAUAUUUUAAAAUAUGUUUUAUAAAUCUUAUUCUGUUAAGAAGUAUAAUGCUCAUUGUAUUUUUAAGACUUAAUGAGAGUUGCUUUAGCAUGAUUGUACUGCAUUUCAAAAAAAUAAAAGAUAAUAUACCGUUAUACACAUAAUAAUAUACCUAUUUUAUAUAUUUUAUAAUGCAUAUAAUGUACCAUUACAAUUUCUUCAUAUAAGCUGUGAUAUAAACUCGGCUUUUGCGUGCCAAUAUCUAUUUUUAGAAUGCAGUAUUAUGCAUACAUUUUUGGUGCCAUUAUUCUUCUGCCAUAUUUUCAAGACUUUUUUGCUCAUGUUCUAGUCUUUAUUUUUGUAUAAUAUCUGUGCAUUAUCCCUUGUUAUUAAUGGAUCAUCUGACAGCCAGAUUCCAGUGAGAUAUAAGUAUAUAUACAGCCGAAAAGGACACAAGCAAUUAGUCCAUAUGAAUUUUGUUUAUACAAAACACUCAACAACUCAUGGCAAAACUUCAUGGAGAUGUGUGCAAUAUUUUUCACUCAAUAGAUGCCCUGCUACUGUCGAAACGAUAGACUCAAUGAUAUAUGCUGUCAAUCAUCAACAUAACCAUGAAGACUGUUAUGAAAAACUUGUAAGAAAUAAUAUCUAUGAAAUGGAUAAUUCCUCUAAAUAACUAAAAUUCAAGAACUUGAUAAUUAUCAUGAAAAGUUAAAUGACUUACCUAUAUUGUAAAAAUGAUUUAAUUUUAAAAACAUCAUAUUGUGAUCCUGCAUGUCUUGUAAAAACAAUUCAAAACAAAUCUUCUGCACCAAAGGGCUAUAGAUUGAUCCGAUAUCUUGACUAUUAUAUGAGUGUACAGUGCUUACGUAAAUAUAUAAAAGUGUAAAGUUCCUACUUUAUAUAAGAAACUGUAAAUACAUGUAUUAAUAUUAGGGUAACAGUGUUAAUAAGUAAAAAUGUAAAUAAUAGUAUUGUACUCAUUAUUAUAGUUUCUGAAAAUAUUUUGAAGUAUUUGAUACUUAUAUUGGAUUUUGUAUGACCCUUCUAUGACUUAAACUCGAUAUAUAUAUUCGUGAGUGCAUACAUUCUGCAAAAAAUAUUUUAUUUUUAUCUAGUCACAAAAUCUCUGUAUAUUUUUAUUCAUAUAUUAUUUUAUUGUACUUAUGAUUAUGAGGGUGUGUACUGUGUAUGUAAUGAUACAACUGGAUUAUAACCAAAAAAUGUUUUAUUUACAUCCAUU
Colias croceus (clouded yellow) is the source of this 2901-nucleotide RNA transcript. It is a transcript of the gene named kelch-like protein 20, with no coding region annotated. The transcript is spliced from 5 exons. The record is from RefSeq and is a predicted model, not a curated record. Lineage: Eukaryota; Metazoa; Arthropoda; Insecta; Lepidoptera; Pieridae.